CAUUCACGGAGAGUUUGAUCCUGGCUCAGGACGAACGCUGGCGGCGUGCUUAACACAUGCAAGUCGAACGAUGAAGCCCUUCGGGGUG
RNAcentral lists this ribosomal RNA (88 nucleotides) under Streptomyces sp. SID8366. RNAcentral's name for it is "partial 16S ribosomal RNA". It matches the Rfam family "Bacterial small subunit ribosomal RNA", at positions 1 to 87 of the family's 1533-position model. Lineage: Bacteria; Bacillati; Actinomycetota; Actinomycetes; Kitasatosporales; Streptomycetaceae. The record is from RNAcentral.